GUGACCACUGUCACCCAGGGCACGUGUCCUCUAUGUCUACCUUCCAUGUGUGUAAUCGGACAAUGCUAGUGGACAGCGUGGGGUUGGGACCAGUCAGGGCUGAAGACUGGCCCUUUUUGCUUUAAUUGUGCUCUCUGGUCUCUGUGAACCUCAGUCCCUCCAUCUUUACUCCUCUUCUACUGGGACUUUCCCAGACAGCCUGGACUGCAAGUGGGUCUGCUUGGCAGGAACAGAUGAGCCGUUCAGUGCCUGCCAUCGAUGGAACAGUACAGCGCAGAUGGGGACAGACUGCAAACUCUGCAGUACGUUUUUGCUACCCUCUGCCACCGUGUCAUCCCUGCCAGACGCUCUCUCUCCAGGCUGUGCUAUGGGGAGGCCUCCCAGGGCCCUGCCUCAGUUUUCUCAGAGGUGCUAGACGCUUAAUAAAUGCCUGUACGUGACAACUGUGGAGCCAGGCACUGGGGUCCACUGAAGGGCAGUGAGAUGGAUGGACCUUGCAGUCACAAAGCCCAGAGCAGGACAGGUACCACGGAGGGCAGAGGCAUCUGUUCCCCUAGAGCUGGAGUCACAGCCGAUUGAGAGCUGCCCGAUAUGAGUGCUGGGAAUAGAACUCAGGGCCUCUGCAGGAGUUAAUACUUGCCCUAUCUGCUGAGCCAUCUUCCCAGCCCCAGGCUGGCUGACUUUUGAAUAAUAUUAGACCUGCUAAGACUGGAUAGAUGGAGAUGGACUGACUGUGUUUUUGCAUUAUGAGAUGACCCAGAGGUUCAAGAUGCUGUGUUUAAAGAGGGCCCUGGCUAAUAAGGGAUGGACUUGUAAUGGUUAAUUCUUCAUUGUCAACUUGAAUGGAUGCAGAAUCACUUGAA
This is a long non-coding RNA of Mus caroli (Ryukyu mouse), 863 nucleotides long. RefSeq lists it as uncharacterized. The record is from RefSeq and is a predicted model, not a curated record. Lineage: Eukaryota; Metazoa; Chordata; Mammalia; Rodentia; Muridae.